RNAcentral lists this ribosomal RNA (423 nucleotides) under Triticum aestivum (bread wheat). RNAcentral describes it as "partial small subunit ribosomal RNA". Lineage: Eukaryota; Viridiplantae; Streptophyta; Magnoliopsida; Poales; Poaceae. The record is from RNAcentral.
AUGAUAUUCCUCCCGUCCCAUAGCCAACGGGAGUGUCAGCGCACCCAGCGGCGGCACAUCUUGCGGCAGCAAUUGACGUAUCGGACCAGGCGGCUGUGUAGCUGGGUGUCCAUGUUGAACGGAGACACCGAUGGUUGCCCUUCAAGCACCAACAAAUUGGAAAUUCCAAGCCCUGCUGAGAUUACGAGCAGAGUGGAAAGGGAAUCAACACCAUCACGCCAAAACAUUGAAGGAGCAAUCCAAGAGCUAAAAACUACAGUGAUCUCACUAUCCACCAAGUAUUGUUAUUUUCUAUACCUACGUCCUAAUCAGGCCCUAGCAGAGCUUGAACCUUCUUCAGCAAAUAAGGGUCACCGAGUUCUUAUAGUCAGUCACUGGACCCCAAUGGUUGAUAUCCUUCAAUGGACACUGGAAGUAAUAUGA